AAGGUACUUCAGGAAUAAGCAGCGGCUAACUACGUGCCAGCAGCCGCGGUAAUACGUAGGCUGCAAGCGUUAUCCGGAAUUAUUGGGCGUAAAGCGUACGCAGGCGGUUUGUUAAGUUGGAUGUUAAAGCCCUGAGCUCAACUCAGGACAGGUGUCCAAUACUGGCAAGCUGGAGAUAGGCAGAGGUAAGUGGAAUUCUGUAUGUAGGGGUAAUAUCCGUAGAUAUACAGAGGAACACCAAAAGCGAAGGCAGCUUACUGGGCCUUUUCUGACGCUCAUGUACGAAAGCGUGGGGAGCAAACGGGAUUAGAUACCCCGGUAGUCCACGCCCUAAACGAUGAACACUAGGUGUUGGAGGUCUCGACCCCUUCAGCGCCGAAGCUAACGCAUUAAGUGUUCCGCCUGGGUAGUACGAUCGCAAGAUUAAAACUCAAAGGAAUAGACGGGGACCCACACAAGCGGUGGAGCAUCUGGUUUAAUUCGACAAUAAGCGGAGAACCUCACCAAGACUUGACAUCCCGAGAAGUCUGCCGAAAGGUGGAUGUGCCGUAAGG
Molecule: ribosomal RNA, 554 nt
Filed under: uncultured bacterium
Lineage: Bacteria
Description: bacterial SSU rRNA
Rfam family: Bacterial small subunit ribosomal RNA
Source: RNAcentral